GGGCUUUUUUUUUUUUUUUAGAAUAUAUUUCUCUGUGCCUGGAACCUUGGAACAAAAUCUGGCACAGAGUGGAUUGUCAUCAAUGUUUCUUGGAUGAAUGAAUCAAUGCAUCAGUGAGAAUGACUGGAUCCAUCUUUAAGGGGACUGGCCUGCUUCAUGCAUCAUUCAGCAAGCUUAUUUCUUGAGUCCUAUUUGAGAUCAGAGACCGUUCUAAACAAUGAAGGAGUCAGAAAAAGGAAGAGAACCAAGUAGAGAAAUUGGAUUUGAUAUUAUGGUCCUCAAAACGUAGCAUGCCCAGAAGUAAUGAUGAAACUCACUACAUGUAAAACCAGACGUGACUGGUGCCAUCAGAGGCCAGAACAUGCAUCUGUGGGACAUUAAAAUGAUAGACUUCAAGAAAUAUACAAUACUGAGUAUUUCUCUAACCUCUCUAAGACAUCCUGGUGGACUUCAGCUUAUGGCUAGAGUAUGCAUGUGUCAACACCAGAAUAUCUUGUGGGUUAGCCAUACCUUGCCACUCAAAGACUGGUCUGAACCAGCCUCAGCAUCACCAGGCAGCUCCUUAGAGAUGCAGUCUCAUGCCCCACUCAGACCUACUGAAUCAGAAUCUGCAUUUUACAAGACCUCUGGUGAUUCACAAGCAAAUUCAAGUUCAAGAAGCACUGAUAAGUAAUUUCGUCAUUAGCAGCUGGAAGAAAUGUCAAGGUUAGUUUCCCCCAAAUGGAUGGGAUAAAAUUUGUAAGCCAAUUUUCAAGUAUCAGCAAUUUAAU
RNAcentral lists this long non-coding RNA (770 nucleotides) under Vulpes vulpes (red fox). Its description in RNAcentral is "lncRNA (ENSVVUG00000003600.1)". Lineage: Eukaryota; Metazoa; Chordata; Mammalia; Carnivora; Canidae. The record is from RNAcentral.